GGAACUGAAACAUCUAAGUACCUGAAGGAAGAGAAAGAAAUUCGAUUCCGUAAGUAGCGGCGAGCGAACGCGGAUUAGCCCAAACCAAUAAAGUUUUCUUUAUUGGGGUUGCGGACAUAUCAUAACGAAGAGGUAUCGUAAUUGAAGAGGUUUGGAAAGACCCACCACAGAAGGUAAUAGUCCUGUAUGUUAAACGAGAAGACUUUAGAUAUGAUCCAGAGUACCACGGGACACGUGAAACCCUGUGGGAAGCAGGAGGGACCACCCUCCAAGGCUAAAUACUACCUAGUGACCGAUAGCGUAUAGUACCGUGAGGGAAAGGUGAAAAGAACCCCGGGAGGGGAGUGAAAUAGAACCUGAAACCCUGCACUUACAAGCUGUGGAAGCACAUUUCUUGUGUGACCGCGUACUUUUUGUAGAACGGGCCAACGAGUUACGUUAAGUAGCAAGGUUAAGCACUUAAGGUGCGGAGCCGUAGCGAAAGCGAGUUUUAACUGAGCGUUCAGUUACUUGACGUAGACCCGAAACCGGGCGACCUACCCAUGAGCAGGAUGAAGCGAAAGUAAAAUUUCGUGGAGGUCCGAACCCACGAGCGUUGAAAAGCUCGGGGAUGACUUGUGGGUAGCGGUGAAAUUCCAAUCGAGCCCGGAGAUAGCUGGUUCUCCCCGAAAUAGCUUUAGGGCUAGCCUCAAGGUGAGAGAUACGGAGGUAGAGCACUGAAUGUCCUAGGGGGUAUUGCACCUACCGAAGACUAUCAAACUCCGAAUGCCGUCAUCUUAUACUUGGGAGUCAGACUGUGGGUGAUAAGAUUCAUAGUCGAAAGGGCAACAGCCCAGAUCGUCAGCUAAGGUCCCUAAAUGUAAGUUAAGUGGUAAAGGAUGUGGGAUUGCACAGACAACCAGGAUGUUGGCUUAGAAGCAGCCACUCAUUCAAAGAGUGCGUAAUAGCUCACUGGUCGAGUGAUCCUGCGCCGAAGAUUUCCGGGGCUAAAACUUACUACCGAAGCUACGGCAUCAGUAAUGAUGGGUAGGGGAGCUUCCCAUACGGGUUGAAGCAUGACCGUAAGGACAUGUGGACAGUAUGGGAGUGAGAAUGUUGGCAUGAGUAGCGAGAUGUGGGUGAGAAUCCCACAGGCCGUAAACCCAAGGU
RNAcentral lists this ribosomal RNA (1149 nucleotides) under Clostridioides difficile. RNAcentral's name for it is "bacterial LSU rRNA". It matches the Rfam family "Bacterial large subunit ribosomal RNA", at positions 189 to 1351 of the family's 2925-position model. The record is from RNAcentral. Lineage: Bacteria; Bacillati; Bacillota; Clostridia; Peptostreptococcales; Peptostreptococcaceae.